UUGGAGGGCAAGUCUGGUGCCAGCAGCCGCGGUAAUUCCAGCUCCAAUAGCGUAUAUUAAAGUUGUUGCAGUUAAAAAGCUCGUAGUUGAAUUUCGGGAUUCGUCGGUUGGUCGGGCUUCACUGUCCGCACUGACCUGACGGGUUCCUACCUUCUGAAUAACCAGCAUGCUAUUAAGUUAGUGCGUUGGGGAGGCAGAGCUAUUACCUUGAAAAAAUUAGAGUGCUUAAAGCAGGCUUGUGCUUGAAUAGAUUAGCAUGGAAUAAUAAAAUAGGACGGCAUGGUUCUAUUUUGUUGGUUUCUAGGAUCACCGUAAUGAUUAAUAGGGAUAGUUGGGGGCAUUAGUAUUCAAUUGUCAGAGGUGAAAUUCUUGGAUUUAUUGAAGACUAACUUCUGCGAAAGCAUUUGCCAAGGAUGUUUUCAUUAAUCAAGAACGAAAGUUAGGGGAUCGAAGACGAUCAGAUACCGUCGUAGUCUUAACCAUAAACUAUGCCGACUAGGGAUCGGACGAUGUUAAUUUUUUAAUGACUCGUUCGGCGCCUUACGGGAAAC
Molecule: ribosomal RNA, 551 nt
Filed under: uncultured Acaulospora
Lineage: Eukaryota; Fungi; Glomeromycota; Glomeromycetes; Diversisporales; Acaulosporaceae
Description: SSU rRNA
Rfam family: Eukaryotic small subunit ribosomal RNA
Source: RNAcentral